This 305-nucleotide ribosomal RNA is filed under the name uncultured bacterium. RNAcentral describes it as "bacterial SSU rRNA". It matches the Rfam family "Bacterial small subunit ribosomal RNA", at positions 335 to 657 of the family's 1533-position model. The record is from RNAcentral.
UACCUACGGGAGGCAGCAGUGGGGAAUAUUGCACAAUGGGGGAAACCCUGAUGCAGCGACGCCGCGUGAGUGAAGAAGUAUUUCGGUAUGUAAAGCUCUAUCAGCAGGAACGAGACAAGACGGUACCUGACUAAGAAGCCCCGGCUAACUACGUGCCAGCAGCCGCGGUAAUACGUAGGGGGCAAGCGUUAUCCGGAUUUACUGGGUGUAAAGGGAGCGUAGACGGCACUGCAAGUCCGGAGUGAAAGCCCACAGCCCAACUGUGGGACUGCUCUGGAAACUGUGGCGCUCGAGUGCGGGAGGGG